Molecule: long non-coding RNA, 329 nt
Organism: Rhinichthys klamathensis goyatoka
Lineage: Eukaryota; Metazoa; Chordata; Actinopteri; Cypriniformes; Leuciscidae
Exons: 3
Source: RefSeq, a predicted model, not a curated record
AAAACGAGAUCAUCCCUGGAAGCGUGGAAGCUUGGCCUAUUUGGUGCAGAGAAGACUGCUGGCGAAAUUCACAAGUUCACGAAAGAGAGUCUGUCUGUUGCAAUAAGCAGUUUCCUGCAUAAAUCAAAGCCCAUUGGAGUCGUCUCAGAUACUCCUAAAUCUUACUGCUGCACUCGCUCGAGGAGCAUUUGCCACUUUAGCGGGACUGUAAACUGCAAGUGUGAAAUGAAAAGUUUGACGUCUUCCCAUUGCUCUGUUGGCUGAGGGUGGAGAAAUACUGGAGCGUUUGGCAUUUCCCUGAGCGCUCCAUGCCAAUUCACCUUAGCGCU